Molecule: RNA transcript, 10496 nt
Organism: Lepus europaeus (European hare)
Lineage: Eukaryota; Metazoa; Chordata; Mammalia; Lagomorpha; Leporidae
Gene: CEP250
Gene name: centrosomal protein 250
Exons: 35
Source: RefSeq, a predicted model, not a curated record
CGGGCCUCAGCGGCGGCUACAGCCACUUCCCUCCUGAGGAGCGCUCCGGGAGUCCGCGGCAGCCGUGUGUUAUUAAGAGAGAAAAGAUACCUCAGUUCCCUUGAAGCAGCUCAGCUGUACCCUCGCUGUCCAGCAGAAGUCCUGGGCUAAGAGCAGUUUCCUGGAAGGUCUGUGCCUGAAAGCAGCAGAGAGGAACUGAGCUCAGCAGAGCAAUACCUCACAGAGCUACGCUCAAGAGGAAGCCAUAGAGGCAAAGCAAUGGUUAGAGACUCUGCUGGGAGCAAGCAGCCUCUGACUGCUUAAGGACCUGUUGGCCUCCUGUCUGGUGCUUCCAUGGAGACAGACAGCCCUGGGUUGAACACCAUGAAGCCCCAGUCACUACAGCUGGUGCUGGAGGAGCAAGUGCUGGCCCUGCAGCAGCAGAUGGCAGAGAAUCAGGCAGCCUCUUGGCGGCAGCUGAAGAGCUCCCAGGAGGCCCAGCAGAGGCAAGCGACCCUUGUGAGGAAGCUGCAGGCCAAGGCCCUGCUUUGUUUGCCUCAGGUGUUACAGUACCGGAGCUGGUGCCAAGAGCUGGAGAAGCGGCUGGAAGCCACUGGAGGACCAAUCCCUCAGAGGUGGGAGAGUGUGGAGGAGCCAAACCUGGAACAGCUGCUAAUCCGGCUGGAGGAGGAGCAACAGAGGUGUGAGAAUCUAGCAGAGGUGAACACCCAGCUUCAACUGCACAUGGAAAAAGCUGAUGUGGUGAAUAAAGCCCUUCGGGAAGAUGUGGAAAAGUUGACAGUGGACUGGAGCCGGGCCCGGGAUGAGCUAAUGAGGAAGGAGAGCCAGUGGCAGAUGGAGCAGGAGUUCUUCAAGGGCUACCUGAAAGGAGAGCACAGUCGCCUUCUUGGUCUUUGGCGGGAGGUGGUGACCUUCCGACGCCACUUCCUGGAAAUGAAGUCAGCUACUGACAGAGAUCUGAUGGAGCUAAAGGCAGAGCAUGUGAGGCUCUCAGGGUCUCUGUUGACCUGUUGUCUGCGCUUGACUGUGGGAGCACAGUCUCGGGAAGCCAGUGGAUCUGGAAGAACGGAUGGGAGCGAGCCAGCCCAGCUGCUGCUCCUACUGGCCAAGACCCAGGAGCUGGAGAAGGAAGCACAUGAGAGGAGCCAGGAGUUAAUACAGCUGAAGAGCCAAGCGGACCUGGAGAAAGCUGAGCUUCAGGAUCGGGUGACUGAGCUCUCUGCUUUGCUGACCCAGUCUCAGAAGGAAAAUGAAGAUUAUGAGAAGAUGGUAAAGGCUCUGAGAGAGACAAUGGAGAUUCUGGAGACAAACCAUGCAGAAUUAGUGGAACAUGAGGCAUCUCUUAGUAAGAAUGCCCAAGAAGAGAAGUUGUCCUUACAGCAGGUGAUCAAGGACAUAACCCAGGUACUGGCCAUGGUGGAAGAAGGGGACAGUGUGGUGCAAGGCUGUGGUCAUGAGAGCUCCUCAAGCUUGGACUUGAAUGGCUUCUCCCAGUUUGACUCCCAGGACCCAGACAAGGCUCUCGUUUUUGUGCGCUCAGUGCUGACUCGAAGACGCCAGGCCAUGCAGGACCUAAGGCAGCAGCUUUCAGGCUGCCAGGAGGCCAUGGGCAUCUUGCAGCAGCAGCAUGAUCAGUGGGAAGAAGAGGGCAGAGGCCUGAGACAGCGACUGCAGAAGCUCACGGAGGAACGGGACACUCUGGAAGGGCAGACUGUGGGCCUCCAGGGAGAGGUGGACUCUCUGAGCAAGGAGCGAGAGCUUCUGCAGAAGGCCAGGGAAGAGCUGCAGCAGCAGCUGGAGGUGCUGGAGCAGGAGGCCUGGCGACUGCGAAGGGCAAAUGUGGAGCUUCAGCUGCAAGGGGACUCUGCCCAGGGUGAGAAGGAGGAGCAGCAGGAGGAGCUGCACCUGGCUGCCCGGGAAAGGGAGCGUCUUCAGGAGACACUGGUGGUCCUGGAAGCCAAGCAGUCACAGUCACUCACAGAAGUGAUCACUCUUCGGGAAGCCCUGGAGUCAAGUCGUCUGGAAGGGGAAUUACUGAGGCAAGAGCAAGCAGAAGUGACCGCAGCACUGUCUAGGGCAGAACAGUCGAUUGCAGAGCUGUCAAGUUCUGAGAACAGCCUGAAGGCAGAGGUAGCUGAUCUUCGGGCUGCAGCUGUCAAGCUCGGUGCCUUAAAUGAGGCUUUGGCCUUAGACAAACUUGGGCUGAACCAGCAGCUUCUCCAGUUAGAGCAGGAGAACCAGUCUGUGUGCAGCAGAGUGGAGUCAGCAGAGCAGGCGAGGAACACUUUGCAGGUGGACCUGGCGGAGGCCGAGAGGAGCAGGGAAGCCCUGUGGGAAAAGAAAACUCAUCUGGAGGCUCAGCUGCAUGAAGCAGAGGAGGCCAGGGCUGAGCUGCAGGCCAAUCUCAGGGGCAUCCGAGAAGAGAAGGAAGAAAUUCAAGAGAAAUUAAAUGAGGCACAUCACCAGCAGGAAGCAGCUGCAGCUCAGCUGGAGCUGCUACAUCAGGAGGCGAAGCGACAGGAAGAAGUGCUUGCCAGAACAGUGCAGGAGAAGGAGGCCCUAGUGCGAGCCAGGGCAUCUCUAGAGGUACGGCUGCAGGCUGUGGAGCGGGACCGCCAGGACCUCACCGAACAGCUGCUGGGACUCAGCUCUGCCAAGGAACAGCUGGAGAGCAGUUUGUUUGAGGCCCAACAACAAAAUUCUGUGAUAGAGGUCACCAAGGGGCAGCUGGAGGUCCAGAUUCAAACUGUCACUCAAGCCAAGGAAGUUAUCCAAGGAGAAGUGAGGUGUCUGAAGAUGGAGCUGGACACUGAGCGGAGCCAGGCAGAGCAGGAGCGGAGUACAGCAGCCAGGAGGCUGGCCCAAGCUGAGCAGGAGGGGAAAACUGCCCUGGAGCAGCAGCAGGUGGCCCACGAGGAGGAGGUGCGCCGGCUCCAGGAGAACUGGGAGAAGGAGCGUUCCCGGCACCAGCAGGAGCUGGCUAAGGUUCUGGAGAGCCUGGAGAGGGAAAAGCUGGAGCUGGAAAUGAGAAUGAGGGAACUGCAGACAGAAACUGAGGCCCUCCGGGCACAACGGGAAGAGGAACGGACGCAGGCAGAGAGCGCCCUGUGCCAGCAAGCCCUUGCCCUCCCCACCCCUCCACAGAUGCAGCUGGAAACGGAGAAGGAGAGAGUGUCCCUCCUGGAGACCCUGCUGCAGACCCAGAAGGAGCUGGCAGAUGCCAGCCAACAGCUGGAACGACUGCGACAGGACAUGAAGGUUCAGAAGUUAAGGGAGCAGGAGACCACUGAGCUGCUGCAGACCCAGCUGCGGGAGGCCCAGCAGGAGCUGAAGGAGGCCACCCAGCAGCACAGAGACGACCUCGCCGUCGUCCGAGAAGAGGGCUGCAGUCUGCUGCAGGAUAAGAGAGACCUGCAGCAGCAGGUGGAGGACUUGAAGUCUCAGCUGGCUACCCAGGAUGACUCCCAGAGGCUGUUGGAGCAGGCAGUUCAGGAGAAGUUGAGAGAGGCCCAGGAGUGUAGCCAGAUUCAGAAGGAGCUGGAGAGAGAGAAAGCCAGCCUGACUCUGUCGCUGGUGGAAAAGGAACAGAGACUCCUUGAUUUAGAAGAAGCUGAUUCUGUUCGACAGCAAGAGCUGAGCUCCCUGCGGCAGGACGUGCAGGAGGCCCAGGAAGGGCAGAAAGAGCUCAGUGCCCAGGUGGAGCUACUGAGGCAGGAGGUGAAGGAAAAGGAGGCUGAUUUUCUGGCCCAGGAAGCACAGCUGCUGGAGGAGCUGGAGGCGUCUCAGGUCACAGAGAAGCAGCUGAGAGCUUCCCUGUGGGCCCAGGAAGCCAAGGCAGCCCAACUGCAGCUGCAGCUGUGCAGCACGGAGAGCCAGCUGGAGGCACUGGCCGCGGAGCAGCAGCCUGGGAGCCGUGCUCAGGCCCAGCUUGCCAAGCUCUACUGUGUUCUGCAGCAGGCCCUAGGGUCUGUCUGUGAGAGCAGGCCUGAGCUGGGGGGUGGGGGAGACUCUGCUCCCUCCAUCUGGGGCCCUGAACCAGACCAGAAUGGUGCCAGGAGUCUCUUUAAGAGAGGGCCCCUCCUGACUGCCCUCUCAGCUGAGGCGGUGGCCUCUGCCCUCCACAAGCUUCACCAAGACCUGUGGAAGAGUCAGCAGGCCCGGGAUGAUCUGAGGGAUCAGGUCCGGAAGCUGGAACAGCAUCUGACCAAAGCUGAGGCUGACAAGAGCCUGCUCCACGCAGAGCUGCAGGACCUGCAGCAACAGCUGUCCCAGAACCUGGAAGAAAAAUCCAAGUGGGAAGGAAAACAGAACUCCAUGGAAUCUGAGCUGAAGGAACUGCACGAAACUGUGACUUCCUUACAGGGUCACCUAAGGCAAGCAGAACUGCAGAGAAUGGAAGCCCAGGGUGAGCGAGAGUUACUUCAGGUAGCCAAGGAGAACCUGACAGCCCACGUGGAACAGCUGAAGGCAUCUGUGGCAGAAGCCAGGGCUCAGGCGAGCGCUGCUGGCAUCCUGGAAGAACACCUGAGGACGGUGCGCUCGGCGCUGAAGCGGAAAAAUGAGGAGGUGGAGAGUGAGCGUGAGAGAGCCCAGGCUCUUCAGGAGCAGGGUGAGCUGAAGGUGGCCCAAGGCAAGGCCCUGCAGGAGAACUUGGCUCUGCUGACCCAGACUCUAUCUGAGAAAGAAGGACAGGUGGAGACUUUGCAAGGAGAAAUCCUGGAACUGGAGAAGCAACGGGAAAUGCAGAAGGCCGCCUUAGAGCUGCUGUCCCUGGACCUGAAGAAGAGGAACCAAGAGGUGGAUCUGCAACAAGAACAGAUUCAGGAGCUGGAGCAGUGUAGGUCUGUUUUGGAGCAUCUGCCCAUGGCGGUUCAGGAGCGAGAGCAGCAGCUGGCUGUGCAGAGGGAGCAGAUCAGAGAGCUCGAGAAGGAUCGGGAGACCCAGAGGAGCCUCUUGGAGCAUCAGCUUCUGGACCUGGAGAAGAAGGCCCAGGUGAUUGAGUCCCAGCGAGGGCAGAUUCAGGAUCUGAAAAAGCAGCUGGUCACUCUGGAGUGCCUGGCCCUGGAACUGGAAGAAAGCCACCACAAAGUGGAGUGCCAGCAAAAGGUGAUCGAGGAGCUGGAGGGCCAGAGGGAAAUGCAGAGGGUGGCCCUGACCCACCUCACGCUGGACUUGGAGGAAAGGAGCCAGGAGCUGCAGGCACAAAGCAGCCAGAUCCAUGAGCUGGAGAGCCACAGCACCCUUCUGGCAAGAGAGCUGCAGGAGAGGGAGCAGGACGUGAAGUCCCAGCACGAGCAGGUCAAGGAGCUGCAGAGGCAGAAUGAGCAUCUGGCUCAGGACCUUGAGAGGAGGGAACAGGAGCUGGUGCUGCAGAAGGAGAGGAUUCAGGUUCUCGAAGAUCAGAGGACACUGCAGACCAAGAUCUUGGAGGAGGACCUGGAACAGAUCAAGCUGUCCCUGAGAGAGCGAGGCCGGGAGCUGGCCCCUCAGAGGCACCUGGCGGAGGAGGGCAAGGGCCAGGGGAAAGCACAGCGUGGCAGCCUUGAGCACCUGAAGCUGAUCCUGCGUGAUAAGGAGAAGGAAGUCGAGUGCCAGCAGGAGCAGAUCCAGGAUCUGCAGGAGCACAGGGGCCAGCUGGAGCAGCAGCUGCAGGGCCUGCACAGGAAGGUGGCCGAGAGCAGCCUGCUCCUGACCCAGCGAGAGCAGGAGAUACUGGUCUUGCAGCGGCACCUACAGGAAGCCAGGGAGCAGCGGGAGCUGAAAGAGCAGUCGCUCCAGAGUCAGCUGGAAGAGGCCCAGAGAGCUGUGACCCAGAGGGACCAGGAGCUGGAGGCCCUGCAGCGUGAGCGGCGGCAGGCUCAGGGCCAGGAGGAGAGUGUGAAGGAGAAGGCCAGCGACCUCCAGGGGGCUCUGGAGCAGGCCCAUAUAGCUCUGCAGGAGCGCCAGGGAGAGCUGGAGGAACACAAGGAGCAGGUGCGGCGGCUCCAGGAAGAGCUGGCAGCGGAGGGCCGGCGGGGGCAGGCCCUGGAGGAGGUGUUGGGAGACCUGAGGGUGGAGGCUCGGGAGCAGGAGAAGGCUCUGCUGACCCUCCAGCAGCAGUGUGCCGAGCGCACACAGGAGCACGACGCACAGGCCAGGGCCCUGCAAGACAAGUGGCUAGAAGCAGAGGCAAUGCUUAAGGAACGGGACCAGGAGCUGGAAGCUCUGCGGACAGAAAACCAGUUCUCCCGGCAUCAGGAGGAGGCUGCCUGGGGCCAGGUCGAAGCACUGCAGGAGGCCCUCAGCAGGGCCCAGGCUGUGCUGCAGGAAAAAGAGCGGCAUCUCCUGGAGCAGACAGAAUUGAGUCACAGUCUAGAGGCCAGCACCGCCACCUUGCAGGCCACCCUGAACACCUGCCAGACACACGCCCGGCAGCUGGAGGAGGCCCUGAGGACACGUGAAGGUGAGAUCCAGGACCAGGGCCUGCGACAUCGGGAGGACAUACAACGGCUCCAGCAGGCCCUUGCCCAGAGGGACGAAGAGCUGAGGCUUCAGAAGGAGCAAGGGCAGCUGCUGGAGAAGCUUCUAGCCCAGAGGGACCAAGAGGGGCAGAAUCUGGGGAAGGAAAGAGAAGAGGAAGAGAGGAUUGGCCUCCGUGAGAGUCUAAGGGAGCUGCAGUUGACUCUAGCCCAGAAGGAAGAGGAACUCCGGGAGCUGAGGGAGGCCCAGCAAAGGAAGAAUCCCGAGGCCUUACCCCAGAGCCACAAAGCUUCCUCAGUGCAGGAACCAGCUCUGAACUCUGAAUCUUUCAGGCCCAAACUGCAGCGAGACCUAGAACGCCUACAGGUAGCCUUGAGGCAGACAGAGGCCAGGGAGAUUGAGUGGAGGGAGAAGGCCCAGGACUUGGCGCUAUCCCUGGCCCAGAGCAAGGCCAGUGUCAACAGUCUGCAGGAGGUAGCCUUGUUCCUACAAGCCUCCGUCCUGGAGCGGGAAUCAGAGCAGCAGAGACUACUGGAGGAGCUGGAACUUACCAGACAGACUCUGGAGAAGGAGCGGCUGCACAGCCCAGGCUCAACCCUCAGAGCAGAGCGGGGACCCAGGGAAGAGCAGGGUGGACAGCCUGGAGAGGACUCAAGAGCAGAGACAGAGUGUGGUGCUGGAGUGGAGGAGAAGGAGCUGUGGAAACAAAGGCUUGAGCACCUGCAGCAGGCCGUGGCUCAGCUGGAAAUUGACCGGGGCAGGCUACAGCGCCACAACAUGCAGCUGCGAACCACCUUGGAGCAGGUGGAGCGUGAGCGGAGAAAGCUGAAGAAGGAGUCCAUGCGCCUGUCCCGGGCAGGGGCCCAGGAGCUCAGCCAAAGCCUGGAUUCAUCACCCACACAGCAGGAUGGACGAGGGGAACAGAAGGGCUCCGCACAGGCCAAGCACGUGGUUGAACUGCAGAAAGAGGUAGCCCUGCUGCGAGCCCAGCUGGCCUUGGAGCGGAAGCAGAAGCAGGACUACAUCGCACGCUCAGUGCAGACCAGCCGUGAACUCGCAGACCUGCACCACAGCCUCUCCCACUCUCUCCUUGCAGUGGCCCAAGCCCCUGAGGCCACUGUCCUAGAGGCCGAGACCCGCAAGUUGGACGAGUCCCUGACUCAAAGUUUGACGUCCCCAGGGCCAGUCCUGCUCCACCGUAGCCCCAGCCCCAGCGCUAUCCAAACCACCCCCAGGUAGCAGCCCCAGCCAGGGCAGGAUACAGGCCAGCACGGUGCACACGGACAACACAGACAACUGCAGGGGAGUCCUGGUCCCUCUGCAUGGCUGCAGGUUUGCCAAAAGAAUGGUCUGGCUCUGUUAACCACCUGGACGCCCCAGAUCAGCCACAUUCCCAGGAGGAGAAGGAAACCAGCAAGCUUGGGGAGCACUCCAGCCCGCGUAGGAAUGAAGCAAAGUUUGUUCUCCUGCCAGGCCACGGAGUCACCCAGAAGAGUGCCUUGCCCUGGUCGAGGGGCUUACUGCCUCUCGUCUAGAGUUUAUUUUCCCAGCACUUGCCCUCCCUCACCUUCCCCGUCAACAAUAAACCUGGGGUCUUUGUGUUAAUUCGCUACUGCAGUGUCCACUUGUGUGGCUGGGUGGCAGCAGCACAUCAGCAUUGUAAGGUAACACUUGCUGAAGAUCCCUCUUGGGUGACAGGGGUCUACUGUGAGCCGUGCACUCUGAUUGGGGACGGUUGCAGAAGACACACAAGACGAGAUGGCCCCUGUCCCCAGCGCCUGCCUUCAGUCCAGCUGAUCUCUACAGGUCAUGAACUAGGCUGGACGCCAAUCAAGGAGAGACCUUCCAGCACAUGAAAGACAUUUUGAAGGCUGCCAAGCAGGAUCCUCAUUUAAUCCUAAACCAUCUAUUGCUCAUCUCUCCUCAUCCAACCCUCGAGAGCCCCCCGGCCUCCACUGUAGCCCUCAUCCUAAGGUCUCCCCACCCCACCAGGUAAGAGGUUGGCGAGGCCUUUGUUCAGCAGUGAGGACCAAGCUAUACUCACACAGCAGCUGGGGGCUGACUUUGUGCCCCGGUUUUCUAAAGUAUGCUUUCCUUGGCCAAUAGCAGAGUCAUCUCUGGGGAGGCCAGUAAUGUACCAGUUGCUGUUUUCAUCAGCUCCAAACCUAAGGAGAGACCGGAGGGGAAGAGCAGGAAGGAAAGUGUGGGUCACCCAGGCAGGACCCAACCUCGCCUAAGGACACAAGUCCAGAGCUUCUGUCCCUUCAUCUUGUCACCUACCACAAGGCUGCCCCAAGCAGUGGAUCAGCCCUUGGGCAGUGCCUCUGGGUGUCCAGCCUGUUCUCAGGAUGUGCUCUGGGAGGGUGUGAACCAUCACUGGAACCUGGGGUGGAAAGAUGGGCAAGGUCACCCCGGCCCCUUCUAGUCGUCUUGUGUGCUUAGAUAGAGGUUGCUAUGGGCCAAACCGCUCUGAAAGCAGCAAGGGUCAAGCAUGGAGUCAGAGCCUGGGCCGGUCGUCUUGUUCCCAGGGAGCGCCUGGUACUGAGAGUCCUGCUUCUGUUCUCAUAGCGAGCCUGGAUGCUUUGUGAACCGCAUCACAACCCACAUGGGGCUGCCAGGGUGGUGAGGGCAGGGAAGCCAUGGGCGGGAGAGCCCAGCAGAGGAGGAGGAGCUGGUGGUAGAAGUCAGCGUGAGGAGUGAGCGGAGUGUGGUUGCAGACUGCACAGGUCGCGGUCGGCACUUACACCAGGAAGCCGGGGCUGUCUGCUGGAGGACGGAGCUCCCCCCAGUCCUGCCGGGUGAAACCGCUGCAGUCCACAGCAGCCCUGGAGGUUUCAGUGACACCAGCAGCCUGUUUUCCUUAGCCCAGUCAGGAGCAUUAUGGGUACAUUAGGUACAGGGAGGUUCUGUCACCAGCAUCAUGAAGCCCAGAAGUGGGGGCUGGUGUGUUCUGUAGAGACAGGAAAGCUAAUCCUAUGUCAUCGCUGCACCUCCCAUCACGGCUUCCUGUUUAAAUCUUUCCAGUGCCUGUGAAUAUUCCAGCCCCGGGGUCAGAUCUCAGAGUCUGAGGGCUCCUUGCUGGCAAGAGUAGCCCCCACCCCCACAUCCCACCCUUGCAUUGUGGUUUGGGGAUUCAUGCCACAGCUUUGGAUAGAACUCUUCCCCGUGUCAGUGGCCUCCUGUUAAGUUUGGCCAAUUCCAGUAUUUGACGAGGGCUGGUAGAUGAGAUGUGCUGGCAUUGCAUUCUCUUGGCAAAUGCUCAUCAAGCCUGUGCCAGAAGCCCCCGCUAUGAACACCAAGGAAGAGGAGGAGGAGCUUGUCUCCAGGGAGACAGGGCCCAGAUAAAUGCUUGCAGAAUGACCCAGAGGCCCAGAAGAGACUGGCCACUCCCAGUGAGACCAGGGCAAGCGUCCCAGAGAGAGGAAGGGAGGCCUUGGGGGCCCUUUCAGGGUGGUUAUCAAGCCCCUUGGAUGCAGCAGGUAUAAGGAGUCAGGGUCCCAAGUCCAGCAGCAGCAGCAGGCCCUCAAGGCGUCAGCUCGCCCACUCCAGUUCGACCUUUCAGGCCACAAAGCAGGAACAUCAGCCACGGCCCACAAGCCACAAUGCCCUGUGAAGGCUCCAUUCUCACCGCGGGAUGAGGCACAUGGCCAGGGGCAGGCUGAGUCAGACACCAAGCACUGGGCAAAGCAGGGAGCUCUGGAUGCAAGACUCCACCAGCAUCCCACUGCCGUGUUGGCUUCCGUGCCUUCCUCUGCCUUCACGUCACACCUUCGAUGGCUGCCCCUUGCCUCCCUAUCCACCUGUUACAUCCCAGAGGUGUUCGCUAAAGGCCACUUUGAGAACAAGAGGAGAGGCGGCAGGCCAGCAUUGUGGCAUAGCAGGUUAAGACAUUGCCUGUGAUGCCUUGAGCCCAGCCCCCCAUGUGGGAAUCCCAGGAGGAAUUCCUGGCUCCUGGCUUUGGUCUAGCCCACCCCUGACUGUUGUGGUCAUUUGGGGAGUGAACCAGUGAGUUGAAGAUCUCUUUCUCCCUCUCUCAC